This 2599-nucleotide unclassified non-coding RNA is filed under the name Helicoverpa zea (corn earworm). RNAcentral describes it as "glycerophosphodiester phosphodiesterase GDPD6-like, transcript variant X1". Lineage: Eukaryota; Metazoa; Arthropoda; Insecta; Lepidoptera; Noctuidae. The record is from RNAcentral.
UUAAUGUUUAUUUAUCACUUACAGUAAGUACACGUACAAGCCUCUGACAUACAUAGUUGUGGCUCCGACGUGAGUAGAUACAAGGAGGAUGGACAGGCGCAUGACUAUAUUGGUAUUGCUUGCAGUCGCAAGCAUCGGUGCUUUGAGUGCUGCUAUUGCAGUGGGUAUCAUCCGCACCAGGCCAGAUGCAGCUGCGGCUGAAGAGGAGUAUGAUCUCGCCUUUUGCCAACCUCUAGUGAUAGCUCACCGCGGUGCCAGCGGCUACAUCCCAGAACACACCCUCGGGGCCUAUGCACUAGCAGCCACCAUGGGCUCCGACUACUUAGAACCAGACGUUGUCAUGACCAAAGAUGGAGUCAUCAUCGCCCGACAUGACAAUGAACUAGGCUUAACCACAGAUGUAGCACAACAUCCCGAAUUCGCCGACCGCUAUCGCACACAAACCGUCGAUGCAAAAGUAGUAAGUGGCUGGUUCACAGAAGACUUUACUCUUGCAGAGAUAAAAACUUUGCGUUCAAUUGAACGUAUACCUAAGACAAGACCAGGCAAUGCUAGAAUGGACACAGCUAUGGAUGUCCCAACAAUGCAAGAAAUUAUAGAUUUAACCAAAGGUCUUGAAGUCAGUCUUGGCCGGCCUAUUGGAAUUUACCCUGAAAUAAAACAUGGAACUCACUUCCAGCGUUUAGGUCUCGCUAUGGAAAAACCUCUUGUGGAUUUGCUGCACAACAAUGGUUACAGAGAUGCUAAAUCUCAUAUUUAUAUACAAUCAUUUGAAGUAAACAACUUGAAGGAAUUGAAAAAUAUGACUGAUCUUCGAUUGAUACAGCUCUUUGCUGGCAAUUCUAGUGGUCAACCUUUCGACCAAGUUGUGGAAGGAACAACCCUCACUUACGCUCAAAUGGCUACUGCAGAAGGGUUACGUGAGAUCGCGACGUACGCAUAUGCAGUAGGCCCUGACAAGCGUUAUAUAAUUCCUCGCAAUGACGAGGACAAGUUGGGGACAGUGACAAGUUUUGUGCAGGACGCCCACGCGGCAGGACUGAAAGUUCAUCCGUACACUUUUCGUUCUGAAAACGAAUUUCUGCCGGCCGAGUUCCGCAGCGAUGAUCCGUCACCAGACGCUCUCGGUGACGCUGAGGGAGAACUACGAGCGUUCCUAGCCACAGGAAUAGAUGGACUCUUUACGGACCAGCCAGAUGACUUAGUACGAAUUAAAAAUUGUGAUUGAAUUGGUGUUAGCUAAAAUUCUAGUGAAAUUGUAUUACAAGUGGCAAUAGUUGUUAUUUAGUGUUAAUUAGGACUAAUUUUAAGGUUAAUUAAGACGGUGUGUACAUAAGUAUAAACUAAUUUAAACCACCUUACCCUGUAUGAAAAUGGAUUAAACAUAUUUUGACUGUUAAAAAACUGAAAACUUGUGGGAUGUUUAAAUACGAGUUGAUAUUUAAAUUAAUCUACAAUACGUAUUUCUAGUCUAUGUACCUAGUAGAUUAUUAGUUGUGUGCUAUAUGCUUUACAUAAAGAAAAUAUCUACAACUAAACUGCUAAUCUUUUAAUCUGUUGGAUUUUAUUGACAACAUAUCAAUUACAUGAAGUCGGUGUUUCUUUUAAUCGCAUAAUAUUUCCUUAGCGGAAUUUUAAAGACUGAUCGUUAAUCACUCGUGUAGUUCUGUAAUUAGAUAAAUCCGUAUUCAUGUGGGGUAGGCUAUUUAAUUAGGUCGGAAAAUGCUUAUUAUUGUGAUCCUAAUCGUGUCAAGUUGCUAUCUAUUUUUGAUGACAGUUACCCAAAAAUAUAAUCUAAGAAUAAUGAUGAUAAAAUAAGUAAGUAGAUUUAAAUUACUUUUUCUGCAAAUUAACCAAUCCUUUGGAAAAUUACAACUUUAGUUGCCACUGGAAAAUAUGGAAUUGAUUCAUCAAAAUAACUCAAUUUUCACUUCUGGAUCUAAGUCCUUUAAAUAAGAUAAAUAAGCAGUCGAUUUACAAAGUUUGUUCAUAAUAUUAUUACUACAUACAUACUUAAUAGAUUUCAUCUACAAUACAUAGAAAUCUAAAAUUAUUGACCACAACACUACAGGCGUAAUAAAUUGAUACGAAAUGAACAUCAUAAAGUAAUAUAGAUAAAUAUAAGUAAAUAGGGGCAAUGAUACUUUAUCGUUAACCUCUGGCAGAACACGUGUUACGCAAGGUUCGUUCCGUCUCGUCACGCGACUGAUCACGACCACGGGCCUACCACUUCUGAAGUCUGAACUCCAGAUUGACAUUUUCGCGAUAAAAUAUUUCUGACGUUCGAGAGACCAUGUUAUCAAUUCUUUAUGUGUUCUUUAACAGGAUUUGCUUGAUUAAAUUGUGUGGUUGAACCAAUUUUACAAUAUUUUCAGGACACCAUUAGGUAUACUGAUUAGCUUAUUAUUUGACAGAUUUUAGUAUAGAAUAGCCGUUGCUUUAAGAAAUCUUUGGUGAAUUGUAUUCUAAGUAGGUAUAACAUGUUGACUGAUGUUGCCGAACGAUCUGAUUGUCAACUGUUAAUUUUCAUAAUAAUAGGUACCUACUUACUGAAGCAACUAACGUAAGUUACGACACAAAAUAAAAUGUAUAUUUAUGA